This 1138-nucleotide long non-coding RNA is filed under the name Equus asinus (donkey). RNAcentral's name for it is "lncRNA (ENSEASG00005034529.1)". The record is from RNAcentral. Lineage: Eukaryota; Metazoa; Chordata; Mammalia; Perissodactyla; Equidae.
CUUAGCCUAGAGAAUUAAGUAAACAUGUGUUACUUCACUCCUACACACCGUUUAAACGCAGCUAACAGGCUUUCUGAAUAAACCAGCCCGCCCCCGGCGGUAUCAGGAGUUAGGUUCCGCAUAUGCUGUCGCCAGGCUGCAGCCGCCUGAGGGGACUCGCCCGGGGCCCCGCCCUCAGAGCUCACACCCGCCGUGCGCUCGCGCCCCAGGGGCCGCCCCCCGACACUCCAGUGCGACUCUGCGUGCACAGGCCAGAGGCUCAGAACCAGCGCCGGGCUGCCCUGCUCGGCCUCCUGGGCGCAGCGGCGUUUGCCCGUGCACGUGCCCUCGCAUCGCGCGCUCCGGGGCCGGGCUCCGGGCGGUUCUCGCCGCUGCAGUUCCACCGGGACUUCCGCGCUUCGGCGGCCUGUCUGACGAGCCGCCGCGCCCAGAGAGGUUCAGGUUGGAGCGACACUUGCCAGAGGGCAGCGGUCACGCCAGAUCUUCGGCUUCCAUUCCGUUUUCGCGCGCUUCUCCCUCUUUGCAAGCUCUGGAUUCUCUUUGUUCUUUCCCAGUAGAGGAAUCCCAAGGAGGACUGAUCCGUUUUGGCAGGUGCACAACCAUGGUCUUCCAGGUAUAGUGAGGCUGGUCUAUUUGAGACCCCCCUGGCUUUCUGUUGGCUCCCAUAGGCUUGGAUGCUGCUGCCCCAUCAUGACCGGUGAUGAUGCUUGUCCUGGGUUGUCUGAAGGUUCGCACUUAAGUAUCUCUGGUGAGAUGCCCCACGGACAGCUUUACGCAGCACACUAGGAGGUGGGCUUCUUGAAGAUCCAUUACCAUGGCUUACUCGCAGAGUCCUUUCAGACGAUUGGCCCUGAGCUAACAUCUGUUGCCAAUCUUCCUCUUUUUGCUUGAAGAAGAUUGUUGCUGAGCUAACAUCUGUGCCAAUCUUGCUCUGCUUUAGUGGGAAUGCUGCUGCAGUGUGGCCUGAUGAGAGCUGAUAGCUCCCACCUGAGAUCAGAACCUGCAAACCUUGGGUGACCGAAGCAGAGCACAUGAACUUAACCACUGUGCCACAGAGCUGGCCCCAACCAUCUCAGCUUUCAAUUGGAGUACUUCAUACAUUUCAAAUUUAAUUCAAUUAUUGAUAUUGUUAACUUUU